GAUGAAGAACGUAGCGAAAUGCGAUAAGUAAUGUGAAUUGCAGAAUUCAGUGAAUCAUCGAAUCUUUGAACGCACAUUGCGCCCGCCAGUAUUCUGGCGGGCAUGCCUGUUCGAGCGUCAUUACAACCCUCAGGCCCCCGGGCCUGGCGUUGGGGAUCGGCGGAAGCCCCCUGUGGGCACACGCCGUCCCUCAAAUACAGUGGCGGUCCCGCCGCAGCUUCCAUUGCGUAGUAGCUAACACCUCGCAACUGGAGAGCGGCGCGGCCAUGCCGUAAAACACCCAACUUCUGAAUGUUGACCUCGAAUCAGGUAGGAAUACCUGCUGAACUUAAGCAUAUCAAUAAGCGGAGGA
RNAcentral lists this unclassified non-coding RNA (352 nucleotides) under soil metagenome. RNAcentral describes it as "partial contains 5.8S ribosomal RNA, internal transcribed spacer 2, and large subunit ribosomal RNA". The stretch from base 1 to 120 matches the Rfam family "5.8S ribosomal RNA", at positions 35 to 154 of the family's 154-position model. The record is from RNAcentral.